GGUGGGUGGGGGGGGGGGCUGUUUUAUUUAAAGGAAUAUUUAGGUAGUCAACAAACAAACAUAAAGCACCUGACACAUAAACUUGGGUACAAAUUUGAAUUAUAAUAAUUUUUUGGAGGUUUAAAUUGCUGGGGUCAAAUUGACCCCAAGGAUAAAAGAUGUUAGUAAAUUUGAAGGUAAUAGGAUGGUUAACAAAAUGAACACUCAUUUGGAAUGGUUGAGAUUUUGUGAUGCUGAUGCAUGUUGUGAUGUCAUAAUGAAGAACAAGACGAAGUUCCAUCUCUGUUAUUGUGACCAUGUUUCAUUCUACAGCAAGUUUCACAUUCACAGUUUCAUUCUACAGCAAACAGUCAGCACGAACAGAACAGAAUUACAGAUUAAGAAGAGUUAAUUUAACGCAGCGGAGGAGAUAAGGAGGGGGAGUAGUGUGGAGGUUAUGGAGACAGAGGGAAAGGAGACUGGGCAUCAGGAUGUCUACGAAAGCCUCGAAAGGCAUCAGGAUGGUGUGCCCAGGUGUGAAUCAAUGCCCGUCACACAACAGGCGGACGCCCAACAAAUGGAAGAGGAGAUGAGAAAUACCUACGAAAGCCUCGGAAGGGCUUUCAUGGCUCACUUAGAGGCCCAUAGCGGGUACUGUGAGGUCACCACCCAGGACACACUGCCACGAUUAACUUUGGAUCAACAUACCCAUUAUCAAAUGGGUGGAAACAUCCAGAAGGGAAAUCAUCUGGUUAUGGAGUUUUUUAAUGGCAAGAGCUUACAAGGGUACUCAAGAGCGAAGGUGGAGAGAGACCCCUUCAUGAGGAUGGAGAUGAACAAGUGGAGAGCAGAGAUAGAGAGAAAGAGGGAGAUGGAGAGAGAAAGAGCGGAGCUGGAGAGAACAAGGAAGGAGGUGGAGAGAAAGGAGAAGGAAGUGAAGCUAAUAAGAGAUGAGAUUCUAAGAAAAGAGGAAGUGGUGAGGAGGAGAGCAGAGAUGGAGAGGGAGAGACAGGCGAUAGAGAGAAACAGACAGGAGAUUGAGAAAGUGAGAGUAAAGGAAAAGCAAGGAGAGAAACAGGAAAAAAGGAUAGAGCAGAUGGAGAGAACGAUAGCAGAGAUCGUGAGAAUAUGGAGGGACCAAAAGAAAAGGCAGACAAAAAAUGAAAAGGAACAUGCAUGGCUUUUGGAGAGGAGGAGUGCAGAGAUGGAAAGAUACAGAGAAAUGGAGAGGGAGAGACAGGCGAUAGAGAAAAGAAGACAGAAUAUUGAGAAAGUGAGAGUGGAGACAGAGCAAAAAAGAGAGGAACAGGAAAGAAGGAUAGACAUGGAGAGAGCUAAAGCAAAGAUGGUGAGAAAGAGAGAGGAGAUUGAGAAAGUGAGAGUGGAGAUGGAGCGAAUAAGAGAGGAAGUAAAAAUUGAAAUACACAAAGAAAUGGAGGGACAUGGAGACCAGAGGCAAAAAGGAGAGGAGAGACAAGAGGGAAGUGAGAAAAUAGAGGAGGAAACCUGCCAGCCAUUGAAGUCCAUGGGACUAUCCUUUGAAGACACUGAGGAUGGAUCAGAAGAAGACUGGAAGGAAACUGAGAAGGUGAUGAAAAGGAGGUGGGAGACUCUGUCAGGAGACAGCGAUGACAGCGACGGGGAGACUGACUCUGAUGACUUGUGGAUGGAUGAGGUGGAGAGACAGGCGAAGGAGGUGGAUCUAAUAACAGGGAAAAAGGAAGUGGGGAGGAGAGCAGAGAUGGAAAGAUACAAAGAAAUGGAGAGGGAGAGACAGGCGAUAGAGAGAAAGAGACAGAAUAUUGAGAAAGUGAGAUUGGAGACAGGAAGACAGGAAGAGGAAAGAAGGAUAGAGAUGGAGAGAGCUAAAGCAGAGAUGGUGAGAAAGAGAGAGGAGAUUGAGAAAGUGAGAGUGAAGGCAGAGCAAAAAAGACAGGAAAGAAGGAAAGAGGAGAUGAUAGCAGAGAUG
Long non-coding RNA from Clupea harengus (Atlantic herring), 1948 nucleotides. Lineage: Eukaryota; Metazoa; Chordata; Actinopteri; Clupeiformes; Clupeidae. The record is from Ensembl.